UGCUCUUUCUGCAUGGCUUUCCUGAGUUAUGGUACACUUGGCGUUUCCAAAUGAUCGCUGCUGCAAAUGCUGGCUACAGAGCUAUUGCACCCGAUUUUCGCGGGUACGGGUCGUCCGACCCGCCAGCCCAACCCGAGAAAGCCGCCUUUGAUGACUUCGUUUCUGAUAUGGCUGCUAUUCUUGAUGCUCUUCACAUUUCUAAGGUUUAAUGAAUUUUCUUGAAUAUUUUUGGUUAUUAUUGUGUUUUUUUUUAAUUUCGUGUUUAUUGUAGUAAUGGGUGUUACUUGUUAGUUAAUUUAAUGUGAAUAAUGUCUAGGUGUUUGUUUAAGUUACUGUUUUGGGUUUUGCCCUUUUUGGUGAUCAGGAAUAUUUUAGUGAAUUAUUAGAUCUUGUUAACUUUAGAGUAUUUUUUUACUAGACUAUUGACUAAUGUUUCAAUUUCUUGGGCAUAUAGUAUUGGAUGUUUGGGAUUACGGAAUCCAUCAUUUUUAGUUUGAUUGGAUCAAAUUAAAUUAGAAAUCCCGGGUAAAUUAGACAUUUAACUCGUUCCAAUUUGAUUGGAUUGAUUCAAGCUUGCAUUUCGGGUUUGGGCACUGCCCUGUGGUAGAUGAUUAAAUAAUAAAUAUGAGUUAUGAAUAAGAAAUACUGAGUGUUUUAUUAUCAAAAUAGUAAGGGGAUUGAUGAGGAUCCACAGACUUUAUAUAUUAAUGUUCACUUUUUGAUCAAGAGUGAUUCUAUAAAGAGUUUACUGAUGUGAAUAGUGAGACAUUUCAUUUGAAUAUUCUUUAUACUAUUCUAAAUUAAGUUUGUGUAUUAUCAUUUAGGUUUGGGUGGUACUGUGGUAGUUCCUACCCUCACCAUAUCUAAUUUGUUUGUUUCAAUGCUUUUGCAGCUAAGUAAAACUUAAGCACUAAAGAUUUUUAUAACCCAUCAAAUGCGAAAUAGGUUAUAGUUAAGUGAUCGUGAUUAUUUCAUUAGAAACAAUUAUUUCUUCUGUUAAAAAGUUUGUUUAGCCAGUGAAUCAAGGUACUUGAUUAGUAGUGUACCCUGUUAAAUCCAACUGGAUAUAGUGUACGUAAUCAACUUCCUGUCCUUCCCUUUUCUUGUUUAUUAAUACAUCACUACAAUCUUAGUUAAAUGCAAUUGGCUUUAGUAUUUAAUCGAAUAAAUGUCGUGUAUGAUAGUCAAAAAUAUUUAGAUCAAGAUGAAGUGUUUAGCAACCAUACCCUUUUUUCAGUAUUAGACAGGUACUCUGAAGCAAACUAAUGCAUGUAAGAUAAGUUAUUUUGAUAGAUUCCUUUUGUCUUUGGUCAAGUAUUUGCGAUUAGUUCGGAAGUAAAUCAAGGGCAGCCAUUUUUUUUGUGACAAUUCUCAGAUGUGACAGAGCAAGAAUAUUCACUAGUAAACAAACCUUUAACUGUUUAUAUCUGAUGCAGGAAUAACAUCGACAGAGCCGAUCGUUUGUUGAGUAGAUAAAAUGAUUGAGGCAAUUUUCAGUAAUAUCUGAUUCCUCUCACUGAAUACAGGUCUUUGUUAUUGGUCAAGAUUUUGGAGCCAUAGUUGCUUACGAGUUUGCCCUUCGCUAUGAAGAAAGGAUCCAUGGGAUGAUAACAUUGGGCUUGCCGUUUAUGGCACCAGGUUCCCUUGACUUCAAGAAUACCCUGCCUGAAGGCUUCUAUGUUACAAGAUGGCAGGUAACACUGUACUUUCAACCACUGCUUUUUUUAACAGUUUUUUGCACUUGCAAAACUGUAAUAUUUCUUGCGAAAUUAAAUACAGGAACCUGGUAGGGCUGAAGCUGACUUCGGCCGGCUUGACGCUAAAACUGUGUUACGAAACAUCUACAUCCUAUUUUCCAGCAGCGAAAUUCCAAUAGCUGCGGAAAACCAGGAGAUUAUGGAUUUGGUGAAGCCAUCUAAUCCUCUGCCCUCUUGGUUCACAGAGGAAGAUCUCGCAGUCUAUGGGGGAGCAUAUGACAAAUCUGGAUUCCAAACUGCACUGCAAGUUCCUUACAGGUGUGAUCAAUCAUCAAUUUAUUUUAGUUUUAUUAUUUGUAAAAUGUCUUCCCCCGUUUUAUGCAAGUGAUACUUACACCUACUUUAAUCUCUAUGAUAUUAGCCUCUUGCAGAAUAUACACACAGACCACUAUAUGUAGCAAUUGAGUUUAUAAUAGAAUUAUUACAAUGGACACAGAUAGUCUCAAGACCAAUCGGCUCUCUGCUUGGCAAUAAUUGAAGUAGGAUGAUAAGAAGAUUUUAGAAUAUUUGCAUUAAGGGCGAGAUGGGCAGAAUUUCUGAUCACGCGGUCUUUUAAAGGUCAUAUAAACUGAGAUUUAAGGACUAAGAGCGAUUAGCCAUAUGAUUACCUAAGCUGUAAUUUUAAGGAAUAUGAUGUAAAAUGUCACUCAAACGAUAUCCUAGUCAAUCCCUAAAAAGUUAAGAUGCCCACUUCAUUCCUUAUUCUUUGGUAAUGGCUAACCAUUCCUCAUUUUGUUUAUAAGAAUAAAAUAUCCCCUUCUCUUGUUUUCACACUCUGUCCCACCUUUUUCACAUUAUUUUUUUUUCUAAUAGAUAUUAAAUUUAAUUUUAUAAUAAUAAUAAGGAAGACAAAUAGCCAAUAGGGAUAGUUCCAUUCAAUAUAUUUUUCCAUUUUGUUAUAUUAAAUUAUAUUAUUAGCAGUUGGCGGUGUCUCUUUAUUUUGUCCAAGUAUGUUUGAAUGUGCUUAAAGUAUUUUGUCUACGAAUAUUCUUUUGUUACAGAGAUUUUCUUUCGAAGAAAUACACACAGAAGCCCAGUACACCAGAUCCAAGAAUUGAUGCCCCUGCCCUAUUUGUAGUUGGGGAGAAGGACUAUGUAUUCAAAUUGCCCAAUAUGGAGAACUACAUAAGGAGCGGAGCCGUUAAAAUGUAUGUCCCGAACUUGGAAAUCGAGUACAUACCUGAAGGAUCCCAUUUUGUCUCAGAGCAAUUUCCUGACAAAGUGAAUGAGCUAAUCCUGUCAUUCAUCAGUAAAAGCAUUCAGAAAUGAUACUUGAAGACAUUGAUGCAGAAACCAAGUCUAAAAAUUUGUCGAGGUUGUGUCGAAAUAAUUAAAAUACUGUUUGAUGCCGUGUAAGCUAAUAUCCUAUAGUUACAGUUCUCCUCUGCUGCUGUUAUUAUUACAUUUCUAUAUCAUGUAUAAGGAAUUGCUAAGCAUGUUAAACACAUCUCAUUGCAAGAGUUAUGUGCAACUUGGUGUAGUGUUAUGUUGUGACUGUUUUAAAGCGAAGGUUUUUAUACAAGCCUCCAUUCCGGAUAAUGGUUCUAUCUAAACUAAUGUUUCUUUCAUCCUAUUAGGAUGUAGCCAUUUAUGGUUAGUCUCAUUGAAAUGAAUGCGAUUUGGCAGGUAUGAAAUAAAAUUCGGUGAAUAAGCUUAAGUGUGCAAUGCAAGAUGGAGCAUUUGAGAAAAUUAGUUUGAUCAUUAUGCAUUGAUAGUUCCACUAGUGCUAUGUUUAGGUUUCUUUAGAUUGCUUUAUGUUAAAUAUAAUGUUGGAUGUUCAACAUUUACUUUGACAUAAUCAUGGUUACAGUAUUACACAGUUUGAGGGAGACUAAUGUUUGAUAUUCGAGUUCUUCUGUAUACUAUUUUCUAAAAGAAAGAUACGGAAGUUGUGGACUUGGUGAAGCCAUCUAAAUCAUCUACCCUCUUGGUUUACUCAGGGAGAUGCUUCAUAUGACCAAUCUGAUUUUCUGAACUGCCUAGCAAGUCUUGUAUAUUGUGUUUGGCUUGGGCAAAUGAAAUGAAGUUUAAACUGAGUUAUAAAUAAGGGUUUAUAAAUUUUGUUUCUUGCGUCAUUCCAUUCCUUACGCUCUAUAUUAGAUAUCGCACCCCCAAUAAGGAAUGUUUUGUUUCUUAUCAUCCUCAAUUUUUAUUUCAUUCUCCCUAAUUAAACACAAUAAAAAAAGCUGUGUUCAUUUAGAUGGAGGGAAUAGAGAGAGAAUGAGAUUUUUAUUCUUAAUCGGAUGUGGAAAGAGUAUCAGUUAAUUGGUCCCGCAAGAAUUGCAAGUAUGGUUAUAUAUGAUUGCAAGUAUAGUUGCAUAUGGUUUGCAUACAAUAUUUUUUUAAAUAUUUUCGAAAAUUUGAUAUUUUUACAAAAUAUUUAAAAAAGAUGUAGUAUUUUAUAAAAAAAAUUCGGACUUGGGUAUUUAUGAAAACCCCCCUUAUUUUUAAUAGUUUUUUUAAAAAUUAUAUUUAUGAUUGCAGAUAUGAUUGCUACUAGUUGGAUAUAUGGUUGCAAAGGUGUAAACCACAUUUUGUUAAAUAUUUGGUAUUUUUGUAUUUUUGUUUUAAGAAAAUUGUAUUUUUAUAAUUAAAAAAAAUAUAUAAUAUUAUUAUAAAAGGUUUAUAGAUUUGGAUAAUUAUGAAAAAAAGUCUAAAAUAAUUUAUAAUCUAAAAUAUUUGACUUUUAGGCAGUGUUGUAAAAAGCGGGAGUCGGACUUAGUCGGCAAAGGCACCGUCUAGCGAUUAAUCGGAUAAUCGGGAAUUAAUCAGAUCAUUAAUCGGAAUUAAUUUAAUAUUAUUUUUUAAACUAGAUAUAUAUAUAUUGGGUCCUACUCCAGUACAAACUCCUUAUGAUACAAACAUACAAACCAAUGAUUAUGAUAAUAAUAUUUAGUGAUUAGCAGUGCUUAGUGUCACUAAACUCUACCAAUCCCAUCUCCACCAACUCCACCUCUUUGAGCUCCGCUUCCAUCGUCAUCUCCAUUAUCACAAGUUCACAACCUCCACCUCCAUGCCGCUUCUCCGUAACCACCAUCUCCAUGUCCACUUAUAUGUUCUAUCACCACCAAAUUCAUUCCAUCGUCCCCUCCACCUUCACCACCGUCACCUCCAGCCUCACCCCUGUCGCCUCCAGCCUCACCUCCGUCGCCUGAAACCACAUCCCCCAUCCCAUUGUCACUGUCACCAGGUUCUGUUCAGUACUCGCUGUUUCACUAAUUUCUAAAGUGAUUUAUAUGUUCUAUCACCACCAAAUUCAUUCCAUCGUCCCCUCCACCUUCACCACCGUCACCUCCAGCCUCACCCCUGUCGCCUCCAGCCUCACCUCCGUCGCCUGAAACCACAUCCCCCAUCCCAUUGUCACUGUCACCAGGUUCUGUUCAGUACUCGCUGUUUCACUAAUUUCUAAAGUGAUAAUCACUAAUUUAUACAAUACAAAUCACUAAUUGGCACAACGAAAAUCACUAAAAUAUAUAUCAGAAAAUCCUGAAUUCUGUAGCAACUUUAAUCUCUGACGGGACAAAAGGGAAUAGCACAGCCUCUGUCACUACCAUUGCACCACCACCAUUGACACCUCUUCACCAACAUCACCACUAUCAAAACGUAGCAUCAUCAAACACCAAAAGCACCACAGCUUCAUCACUAAAUUAUAUCUAUAUGUGUCUAUCUAUCUCGAUGGGAACAAAAUUCAGUUGUAACAAGCUAUAUUGAUUUACAGCGUGACAAGUUGAGAGAAACACAGAGGUGAGAGAGACGAGAAGAGAGAGAGAGAGAGAGUAAAUCUGAGUAAAAAAUGAGAGAAUGAACUACCGUGUAUGCACUGAGUUAUGUUAUUUUUAUAUAUGGUUUGUAGUUUGUAUUUUAAAAUUGGUUUGUAUUUGAGCACUCCCCUAUAUAUAUUUACAUUUACAAUAGAUUUAUGACAUAUAAUUCUAUAAAUUAAAAAAAUCAAUAAUUUUAUCCACAAAAUAUCUAUUUUCUAAAUAUUUAGGUCAAUUAAUAGUGCAAUGUGUCUUAUAAUUAAAUUUUAAUUUUUAAAUUUUCUUUACUAUGAUUUUCAAUUUUUGUCGAUUUACCAUCUUUUGACCGAUUUUUACCAUUAAUCCCGUAUUUGACCGAUUUUUCACAAAAAACGUUUUUCACCGAUUAACGCUUAAUCGAGACGGUGGCCGACCGAAUAACAAUUAAUCGACGAUUAAUCCCGAUUAAUCGCCGAUUUUUAGAACACUGCUUUUAGGUCACAUAUCUGAAGAUUAAUUUUAUUAAUUUAUAUUCUUUGAUAGAUUAUACUCCCUCCGUCCCUUUUUAGUUAUCACAUUUCUAUUUUUGUUGGUCAAAUUGACUAAGUUUUGACCAAAUAUUGUAAGUCACUCUUUUAUUAAUUUAAAAAACUGAAAAAUACAUCUUAUAAUAGAUUAAAAUUUAUUUCCGGUGACAAUUUUUUUUUAUUUUUUCACUUGAUAAAAAUAUUAAUAAAUUCUAGUCAAAUUUUGGUCAAUUUGACCGGCACAUUCAAAUGUGACAACUAAAAAGGAACGGAGGAAGUAAUAGGUCGAAGUAGAAGAGUGUUGUAAAAAGCGGGAAUCGGACUUAAUCGGUGAAGUCACGGAACAGAGAUUAAUCGGUGAUUAAUAGAAUUGAUCGGGGAUUAAUCGGAUUAAUCAAUGAUUAAUCGGAAAUUUAAUCAGUUCGGCGAGUUACGGAACAGGGAUUAAUCGGUGACUAAUCGUGAUUAAUCAUCGACUUUUAGAACAGAGAGUAGAACAGAGAAACUGUACUAACUUAUAAGUCCAGUUAUCCAAACACAAAAUAAUUUUUAAGUCACGAUAUCCAAACACUUUUUAUAAUUUAUAAGUCGAAACCAACUUUUCACUUAUAAUCCGUUUCUUUAUUUUAAGUAAUAAAUCAUUUCUUUUAAUCCCAGCCAAACGGCCUCAAUAUAAAUUAGAAUUUGAAUGAUGUAUUUUUAUUAAUAUUUUUUUUCCUAAAAUAUAGCGUGAGAUGUAGGGUUCAUGUCACAGCGGCACGGGCAUGCCAGACUGGGCAUGCCCUAGGCUUGCCUUUUGUCCAUUUGACAUGCUUUUUUACUAAUUUUUUAUAUAAAUAAUAAAUAUUAUAUCUUAUAAAUAUUGAAAAUUUUAAAUAUAGUCCAACUUCAUAGUUAAAUAUUAGAUAAACUACUAAUAUAAGUUACCACUGUACUAAGUUCUGUUGUUAAUAUUUACUAACUUUUGUUAUAUUUGUAAGUGCACCUUAGUAUCAAUCCUGUAAUGAUGCAACAAUUUUUGUUAUAUUUAAUGAAAAAUGGCAUGCCAUUUCUCGUAAAAUACAUGCUUGUAGAGUUGUAGCCAUGCCAGGGAGAACUCCCGUGACCCUAGUGAGAUGGAAUAAAUAACGUGUGAUUAGAAUUUAAUGAACCCCGAGACAUUAGUUUAACGAGAUUCCCGAGGUGAACCGGUGGACCCCACCUGAACUCCUUAAACAACACACGCUCCUCAGGAUCAGCUAGCACACCAUCUUUGUUUCUUGAACUCAGAGAAAAUGGAGAAGAUCGAGCACACAUUCAUCGAAGCAAACGGGCUAAAACACCAUGUAGCUCAAGUCGGAUCAUCAUCCGGGUCACCCACUACACUGCUCUUUCUGCAUGGCUUUCCAGAGUUAUGGUACACUUGGCGUUUCCAAAUGAUCGCUGCUGCAAAUGCUGGCUACAGAGCUAUUGCACCCGAUUUUCGCGGGUACGGGUCGUCUGACCCGCCAGCCCAACCCGAGAAAGCCACCUUUGAUGACUUCGUUUCUGAUAUGGCUGCUAUUCUUGAUGCUCUUCACAUUUCUAAGGU
RNAcentral lists this long non-coding RNA (7594 nucleotides) under Daucus carota (carrot). RNAcentral describes it as "long non-coding RNA (DCAR_LNC005644)". The record is from RNAcentral. Lineage: Eukaryota; Viridiplantae; Streptophyta; Magnoliopsida; Apiales; Apiaceae.